Molecule: transfer RNA, 76 nt
Filed under: Caryophanales bacterium
Lineage: Bacteria; Bacillati; Bacillota; Bacilli; Caryophanales
Description: tRNA-Cys
Rfam family: tRNA
About the family: Transfer RNA (tRNA) molecules are approximately 80 nucleotides in length. Their secondary structure includes four short double-helical elements and three loops (D, anti-codon, and T loops).
Source: RNAcentral
GGUUCCUUAGUCAAGUUGGUUAAGGCAGCGGUUUGCAAAACCGUCAUCAACAGUUCGAAUCUGUUAGGAACCUCCA